This 350-nucleotide long non-coding RNA is filed under the name Pan troglodytes (chimpanzee). RNAcentral's name for it is "lincRNA". Lineage: Eukaryota; Metazoa; Chordata; Mammalia; Primates; Hominidae. The record is from RNAcentral.
AGCUAGUCAAAGGUGACUAAUUCAUGUGGAUAGAAAAAUAAUACAUGCCAAAAGAAAUUUGAGGAACAAAUUCAGCCCUGAGACAGGUCAAGGAAACAGCCCUCCAGUCUUCCUCAAGAAAUGUAGACUGAAUCAGCAUUUACCCACCCCUGGAAAAACGCAGGAGCUGCGCAUUCCUGGGAUCUCAGCAGGGCUUUUGGGAAGAGCAGAACUGGGCUGGAGUCACGGUUUCUGGGCUGACUCUAGAUUUUCCCCAGCUUUUGUCACCUGUGAUGGCUGGAGAGUAUCUGAAGAUGACGAACCCCCUACUCCCAGUGACACAAGAUAGUUGGACCCACGGCUGAUUUACU